This 1924-nucleotide long non-coding RNA is filed under the name Daphnia pulex (common water flea). RNAcentral's name for it is "uncharacterized LOC124202233, transcript variant X2". The record is from RNAcentral. Lineage: Eukaryota; Metazoa; Arthropoda; Branchiopoda; Diplostraca; Daphniidae.
AGGGGUCAGGGUGAGAAAAAGUCCUAUAAAAGGAGAGAGAAGAGACGAUAGAAAUCAGUCGAGUGAGCAUCUCCGACACGGCAAAAACAGCAGCGCUUUAUUUGUCACCAACUGCCUUCUUCAUCGUAUUAAAAAAGUUCUCAGUCAUGGACCCAUUCCAAUCCCCGGCAACGUCAACCUGUAGAAGGAAAGGACAGUACGCAUGGCCUUUACACUCCAAGGUCACGGAGAUCAUUACGUAAAUCAGGUUAGGUGAGAACGGGACGUGUUUCAUCAUUAUGAAGCGGGUAAAAUAGCUGUAAGUCAACGUGCCGAAGGAAAGACCAGUUUGAAUGGCCUUCACGCUCGAAGGUCACGGAGAUGAAUACGUAAAUGCAAUGGUGUAGAGGUUGGGCGAGAACGGGACGUGCUGCAUCAUUGUCAGGCAGUGAACUAUAUCGUCGUGCUGCUGUUGGGUGCUGUAUCGUUGAUGGCUGGGUCGACCACUAGUGUACCGAUGUCUCCUGGGUAUGGUGGAUAGCAAACUGCAACGCCGCCACCUUUCCACACAAUAUUAACACACGCAACAGCCGGUUCCUGCACUAGUACCGAGUCUUCAGAAUAUUACAUCUAAAACUUAUGAAGACCCGAGCUAUUACACCGAAUCCCGAAGUACAAGUCUGUCCUGAGCUACAUUACCAAAUAACUGGAGUACUUCACCGAAGCGCCCAAAUACUAUUUUACUGCCUAUGCUGCCACGAGCUACUCUACCGACGCCCCGCUCUGCCCCGAGCUACACCACCAAGGCAGCGUUGGUGUUGAGAGUUUGUCCACCAGGUCGGAGAGCGCCUGGUGUUGGCAACAUUGCACGCGACACGCGUUUCAUCAUUCAUGCCACUGACGCCAUUUCUAUUUUGGAUGCUGUCAGUUCCGUUCGUGAUUAAUGCCGUAAACUUCAACAUUCUUCUUCACAAAUAUCUUAAAGAAUUAUUGACUUGGCGCAGUUGAGCUUCUUCGAGAAAGUACAAUGUCCAUUGGAUUUGCUGCAGCCAGCUGUUGAAUGAAGACCAUGCGCAGGUGUGAUGAGCUGCUGCGUGGCGCUGGUCUGGGGAAGUGCUGCAUGCUGUCUGUUGUGCUGGUUUGAAUAACACCACAAAGAGUUUGAACCUUUUGUUUUACAAUUUAAAGCUUAAGUUUUCAUAGUCAGUUAGAUUUUGAGUUUAUUAUGGUUUCGCUAUUUGGUGUGCAGUGCAUGUUUAGGUGGUUUUUGUUGCAGCCAGCUGUUAAAAGGAAUUCAAGUCAAAUUGAGCUGCAGGUUCUGGAAGUAGUCUACAUUGCUGGUGUCAUCCUGAAAUGCAACAGUAACAAAGGCAUCAUGUAAUGGAUUUGGUGAUAGCGUGAUGCAUCUGCCUUGGUGACAAUGAUGUAUCAUCUUGCUGCAUGCAGCCAUGUCGAAGCUAGACUCUAAGUAAACCUGCAAAAAUAUUCAUAGAAAUGAAUGGUGAAAAUGUUCAGCGGUUUCGUGUCAAAUGGCAGUGUCAGUGGUUUCUGUUCAAGUUUUUAUCCUGGAUUGCGCUGGUGUCCUUGCAGUAACUAAUGCUGGUGUCUUUGCCGUAACUAAUGCUGGUGCCCUUGCAGUAACUGAUGCUGGUGUCAUCCUGAUGUUGCUGUGCCAGUGAAAUUCAUGUUGAUAGAAAUAUUUUUAUCUGUGUUUGUGUUUCAUUCUGUGUACAUUGAAGAAACUGAUGUGUUUUUACUCUCUGAUAUGAUAUGUUGCAACAAAAGUUAAAUGUGGUCAUCCCAUAUGAUGAAAUUACCUCAACCCUAAUUAGGUGAGUUAGUUAUUAAUUGUAUAACAAAGUCAAACCUGUAAUUUUUUGUUAUUCUUGUAAAUUUUUAUUUGAAACUUUUUUCUACAGUGUUUAAUGUUGCAUUAAAUAAAAAA